ACCUCAGACUUGGAGGGAUUUCCCAACCACAUGUUGAUGUAUGCCAGAAAACGCUAUUCCUUCGACCCCCCUGCUUAUGAAGCAAGAACCUUGUUGGCUGCGUUGGUCUACAACUUCCACAACCAUCGCCCAGCAAUGCUCAACAAAAAGGGCCAGAAGAUCUACAGAAGGCUAUGGAAUAAGAAGGCUCAGAGGUGGAGUGCAUACUCCUUGAAAUCGAAAAAAGGAAUACGGCUACAUCCCUGACCUACAACGAGCCAUUGUAGGAGUAUGACUGUGUUCUGACAUGGGACUUCCACAGAGGAGGAAGAAGAGGCCUGAUGAUCCAAGAAGGCUUGGACUUCUUCCCCCUAUUCCACCACCUUCAGUAGAGGAGCUGGUCCAGACACAGAUUCAAAGAGGACAGAUCAUGGAAUGAAGAGUGGAUUUCACUCCAUUGAUGAACAACACCCUACCCUAGGGCUGGAUAUGGUCAAGGACCUCACGAUUCGAUUUCGGAGGACACAGGCCAAGUGAACACUUUACUACUUGUGUUUGUGUGUAAAUAUAUUUCCACAAAAAGUUGUUUUUAAAUCAAUAUCCCCUUAAUUACUUGUGUUUGUGUGUAAAUAUACUGUAUAUACUGUAUAUUUCUACAGAAAGUUGUUUGUAUUUCAAUAUCAUUUCUUUUUCCAUCUUAAAAUAAAUGUAAA
This is a long non-coding RNA of Anguilla rostrata (American eel), 692 nucleotides long. RefSeq lists it as uncharacterized. The record is from RefSeq and is a predicted model, not a curated record. NCBI's taxonomy places the organism in Eukaryota, Metazoa, Chordata, Actinopteri, Anguilliformes, Anguillidae. The transcript has 3 exons.